RNAcentral lists this ribosomal RNA (253 nucleotides) under uncultured bacterium. RNAcentral describes it as "partial 16S ribosomal RNA". It matches the Rfam family "Bacterial small subunit ribosomal RNA", at positions 524 to 776 of the family's 1533-position model. The record is from RNAcentral.
UACGAAGGGGGCUAGCGUUGCUCGGAAUCACUGGGCGUAAAGGGUGCGUAGGCGGGUCUUUAAGUCAGGGGUGAAAUCCUGGAGCUCAACUCCAGAACUGCCUUUGAUACUGAAGAUCUUGAGUUCGGGAGAGGUGAGUGGAACUGCGAGUGUAGAGGUGAAAUUCGUAGAUAUUCGCAAGAACACCAGUGACGAAGGCGGCUCACUGGUCCGGUACUGACGCUGAGGUGCGAAAGCGUGGGGAGCAAACAGG